Non-coding RNA from Mycena galericulata, 86 nucleotides. Lineage: Eukaryota; Fungi; Basidiomycota; Agaricomycetes; Agaricales; Mycenaceae. The record is from the annotation of a GenBank genome assembly.
UGCCUCCUGGCCCAGUUGGUUAAGGCACACGACUGUUACAUCUUUCGGACAUCGUGGGAUCGUGAGUUCAAGUCUCACGGAGGCAG